Non-coding RNA from Poecilia reticulata (guppy), 343 nucleotides. NCBI's taxonomy places the organism in Eukaryota, Metazoa, Chordata, Actinopteri, Cyprinodontiformes, Poeciliidae. The record is from RefSeq and is a predicted model, not a curated record.
CCUCCGACAGACCUAGCUCCAGGCUGUCACUUCAGGUGAAGUCACCUGACCGUUCCAGAAUUACUCACCGUUCCCGGAGAACAACCUCCGACAGAUCUAGCUCCAGGCUGUCACCUCAGGUGAAGUCACCUGACCGUUCCAGGAUUACUCACCGUUCCCGGAGAWCAACCUCCGACAGRCCUAGCUCCAGGCUGUCACCUCAGGUGAAGUCACCUGACCGUUCCAGGAUUACUUACCGUUCUCACUCCACUACAUCUACUUCAUCCUCCUUCCAAUCAGACGACCCGGUCCGCAGUUCCAGAACUCACCUCCUUACCUUUCAAUAAAAUCAUUGUAAACCUUA